UAGGAAAAACGGAAAAAUAUACGAAAUUUAUGAUUAAUUUCAAAUCGUAAAUAUUACUGUCAAGUCUCAAGUGUCAGUUAAAACUUAUUAUUCUGUCGUGGCUAAAAACUGACGGAAAUUUAUUAGAAUUUAAAAAAAAGUUGAAAAUUUCAUUAAUUGAAAAAACAAAACAAAAACAACUUCUAAUCUAAUUUAAUAUUGUAAUUCC
Non-coding RNA from Cinara cedri, 208 nucleotides. The record is from the annotation of a GenBank genome assembly. Lineage: Eukaryota; Metazoa; Arthropoda; Insecta; Hemiptera; Aphididae.